GCAGAGAAGUACAGAAGCUGACUCUUGGAGAAGAUUCCCUGACCGAAAAGGCACCACGCUCAUCCAGACCCGAGGGUUCUAGGAAAUGUCCCAGGCUGGACCAGAACAAUCCAGGAAUAGCUUGGAGCAGGGAUCCAGGCUUGGUUAUGAGGGCUCAGACUGCGAUGAGAAUCCAGGGUUCAGGCUGAGGUGGGGAUUAGAACUUGUCCAAUAGCAGAGACGGAGGCUCAGCUUGAGAGGGAGACGUGAGGUAAGCCUGAGGUGGUUAUCUUGGCUCUGGUUUAGGUAAAAAUGAAGGCUCAUCCUGAGGUGGUCACUUGCCCUUGUCCUGACAUGGAGACUCAUAUCCAAAACAGGACAGAGAUAUAGAUUCAGCUUGCAAGAUGGACAUAGCCUUAAUUUGAGGUAGGAGUUUGGGUUCAAGCAAGGUAUCCAAGGUCAGUUUGAGGUGACGCCUAGCCAUAAGCUGUGGCAGAGCCUCAGGUUCAGGAUGGGAAGAAACUCAAGGUCUGCUUAGGGUAGGAACCAGCAUUUGCCAAGGAAGAAAUCAAGAGUUCAGCCUGCACAGGAGAUCCAAACUUGAGCUAUACAGCCCUUCAGGAGAUCAGUGGUCACCGAGUGCCCCACAGUCAAGCCCCGAGACCUGCAGGGAAGUGGCUAAGCUCUGCCUCGUGACAGUGAGGUGUUAGUAAGAAGUAUUAAGCAACACCUUUUUUAUCAGGGUUGGCCUACUGCCUGUUCUCAAAAUAGCCGCCUGCUAUGUUUCGGGGCUGAUCUGGGGAGCAGCCAGCCGUGUACUUACACUGAAGGGUCAGCUAGGAAGAGGUGAUGGGGCAGGGUCUGCUUACCUGAGGUAGGAGAUGACGCCCAUGGCCCUGCAAGAAUGAAAACACCACGUUUGUGAGUCACACCAGGCCUGUCCCACAGGCAAGGGGUACGCAUGUGGGGGUUGGAGAAGCCUGGGGCUGGAAGAGGAGGCAGAGGCUCAGAGGCUCCUCAGCUGCCAGGCAGACACACAUGGAGGACAGAGAGGUUCCAGAUCAACAGCCCUCCUGGUGGGCCAUCCACUCACCAGAUGUCUGAGCCCUCACUCACAGGACUCUGCUCGAUGAUCUCUGGGGACACGAAUUCAGGUGUAGACACCGGCAUCGUGUGGAGUCACGUCCAUCAACACCAAGGAAUAUGUAGUUCCACCUUGCUGCUGCCUCAGCCGGGUACCGUUCACCAGCUGGUUGCUGUCCUGGACAAACAGGGCUACCAUCAGCCUAUCCUGGGAUGUGCCAGCCCCCGACUCACACACGCUUCCUGGAGCAGCACUUCCAAUACCUGCUGUGUGCCCAGCCCCAGGGGCAGGCCAGAAGUGGGAUAGGAAGGUACUGAAUUGGGCUGCAGGGGGGGCUUUGGAGUGGGGGGUUGCAGGUUGCAUGAUGGGGUGCAUGAGCCCCAUUCCACACGUCCACUUAAUCUCACCCAUGCCCUCCAGCUCCUGAAGCCUGUCCCCUCCCCCUGCUGCCUGGGCCUACUCCUCCUACCUUGUACCAGGUCACUGUUGGCGGUGGGUUGCCUUCAAUGACAGCAUCAAACUGUGCCAUGUCACCCACUUGUACUUGUAGGUCCUCGAUAGUGACCUGCAUGGAUGGGGCCCCUGGGAGAGGUGGGAAGAGAGCCUGUGUGGAGGGACCCUCGGGAAUUCAUAGCCCUGGGUGCACAGCCCACUUAGGUGUACAUCUGUGGUCAGUAAAGCCUUGACUUAUGUCCCUUCA
This 1763-nucleotide small RNA is filed under the name Rattus norvegicus (Norway rat). RNAcentral describes it as "uncharacterized LOC100911111". Lineage: Eukaryota; Metazoa; Chordata; Mammalia; Rodentia; Muridae. The record is from RNAcentral.